This 407-nucleotide ribosomal RNA is filed under the name uncultured bacterium. RNAcentral's name for it is "partial 16S ribosomal RNA". It matches the Rfam family "Bacterial small subunit ribosomal RNA", at positions 28 to 526 of the family's 1533-position model. The record is from RNAcentral.
GACGAACGCUGGCGGCGCGCUUAACACAUGCAAGUCGAGCGAAGCGGCGGACGGGUGAGUAACACGUGAGUAACCUGCAUUAGACCUUGGGAUAGCCUCGGGAAACCGGGAUUAAUACCAAAUGGUCUAAGAUGGACUCGCGUCCCAUUAGCUCGUUGGUGAGGUAACGGCCCACCAAGGAGACGAUGGGUAGCCGGUCGGAGAGGGUGGACGGACACAGUGGAACUUGGAAACGGUCCAAACUCUACGGUAGGCAGCAGUGGGGAAUAUGGCACAAUGGAGGGAACUCUGAUGCAGCGACGCUGCGUGAACGAAGAAGGCUGUCGAGUCGUAAAGUUCUUUUAUAUGGGAAGCGGUACCAUAAGAAAAAGCCCCGGCUAACUACGUGCCAGCAGCCGCGGUAAUUC